This 22-nucleotide transfer RNA is filed under the name Justicia gendarussa. Its description in RNAcentral is "partial tRNA-Leu". Lineage: Eukaryota; Viridiplantae; Streptophyta; Magnoliopsida; Lamiales; Acanthaceae. The record is from RNAcentral.
GGUUCAAGUCCCUNUAUCCCCA